Molecule: ribosomal RNA, 217 nt
Filed under: uncultured Aspergillus
Lineage: Eukaryota; Fungi; Ascomycota; Eurotiomycetes; Eurotiales; Aspergillaceae
Description: partial 28S ribosomal RNA
Rfam family: Eukaryotic large subunit ribosomal RNA
Source: RNAcentral
GAAAGAUGAAAAGCACUUUGAAAAGAGAGUUAAAAAGCACGUGAAAUUGUUGAAAGGGAAGCGCUUGCGACCAGACUCGGCCCCGGGGUUCAGCUAGCAUUCGUGCUGGUGUACUUCCCCGGGGGCGGGCCAGCGUCGGUUUGGGCGGUCGGUCAAAGGCCCCAGGAAUGUACCGCCUCCGGGGCGACUUAUAGCCUGGGGUGCAAUGCGGCCAGCC